UACGUAGGGUGCAAGCGUUGUCCGGAUUUAUUGGGCGUAAAGAGCUCGUAGGCGGUUUUGAAAGUCGGGUGUGAAACCUCCAGGCUCAACCUGGAGACGCCACUCGAUACUUCAAUGACUUGAGUUCGGUAGGGGUAAGCGGAAUUCCUGGUGUAGCGGUGAAAUGCGCAGAUAUCAGGAGGAACACCGACGGCGAAGGCAGCUUACUGGGCCGAUACUGACGCUGAGGAGCGAAAGCGUGGGGAGCGAACAGG
Molecule: ribosomal RNA, 254 nt
Filed under: uncultured bacterium
Lineage: Bacteria
Description: partial 16S ribosomal RNA
Rfam family: Bacterial small subunit ribosomal RNA
Source: RNAcentral